CAACUAAACACAUUCUCUAAAAAUAAGAGUUUUUUUCAGCAAAUAAAUUCUCAAUUUUAACUAAUUUUAUAGUUAUUUUGGAAAUUUUGUUGUUAAAAUCAACUAAUUCAAAAACAGUAAUACGAAUUAGGCGCAGAGCUAAUUUCGGUCGUUCCGUGAGGAUGUAUGAAGUAAAUAAUACCUCUAUAAACAAGCAGGCAAAAUUAGAUGCGCGCGCAGGUAUAGCAAGUGAUGUGUGUGAGCCAGGGUCCCGUCACGGGAUGGAAAGAAAAAACCGUGAAUAUUGCAGUUAAUGUUGCGCGACACGACAUUUACAUCUGUUGUUAGAAGAAAUACUUGUAUAAAAAAACACUUGCAUUUCACUGCACUCAGGAGGUACAUUACUUUUCCGAAAGCAGCCACUGCGCAUUGUUACCGUACCUUGCGCACUAGUCGUAGCACUGCAGAAGUUUCGUUGGACGAGGCAGAAGGUGUGAAAAAGCGGACAUCGAACGAGCUGGGAACUGGCUUCGUAGUGCUGGGCAAGACGCGUCAACGAGUGAUUGGGUGGCAGCCAAUCAACGCUAGGAUGUGUAAAUUGAGAAUUAAAGGCACCCGGUGAUCGACAGCAACUAGUUUAAAGUCGGGUAUAAAUAAUUGAUAUAAAAAAGAAUUAAAGGUCGCUUUUUCAAUUACAGCAUCAUUAACGUGAACUGCCCACACGAAGGGAGUCCCGAAGACGAGAAAGAAGUGUUCUACGUACACCCGAUCAACAUAUCGUCUCUGAACUAUUUCUAUUUUUGAUACUUGCUAGAAAAUUUUGAUAUUUUAACUACAAACUAGACCAGACUUAUAUCAGCAUUUGCUACGAAAACAAGUUUUUGUUAUAAACUUGUUAGGUUGGAAAGAGAGGCAAUGUACCGACCGGUAAUCGAGCCGAACAGCCUGCAUGCCGCAUCGAACAACAACGGCCAACGAUGUGUUAACUUUGCGGCCUCCCGAGGAAUGGUAGUCAGACCUUCUUCCCCCGCAAGGAUAUCAAUCAAGCUACCUGAAGAUCACCUGAAUAACAGACCGAAAACCAAAUAUACCACGUUUUGAUCGCCGGUAAAUUUUUCUCAGACAUCAACAAUGUUCACUCAAUGUUCGGACCCCAACUGUAUGUUGGUUGCUGUAUGCAUGCGCUCAAAACUUUCGACGAAGCCGACCGUCGCGGUUCAACAUCGAGCGGCUCCGGGAUGCUGAAGUAGCUCAAGAUUACGCGCAGCAGUUGGUAGUGGCACUAACAACGGAAGAGCAGCUUGGUGCAAGCAAUUGAAUUGAACUGAAUCAAAUAUACUGAGUCUUAGAUUCAAAUUCUUGGCAAUUGAUUAAAAUAUUUCGUCCUUGAAUCAAAUGCCAGAGAUUAUUGAUUCUAAAAUUUUCAUCGAAUCAAACUUUGGUACUAGUUGAUUUUAUGAUAUUUAACACAACUUUUGCUAAGAUUUCAUCACAUCAUUCAAACGAAAAACGUCGUUCGAAAAAGUAAUAAUUUUCGAAGCAGUUGAUGAAUUGAAACUCUCUGCGCUAUUGAAAUCGUUCUAAUUGUGCGAUACUAUAGUGAGUGCUUUCAUCGGAUAGAAAAUGUGUUCACAUUCUAGAAAACAUCAACCGUACUCAGUUAAGCUCACAAAAUGUAAUCAAUAAUAAAUAAAAAUUUUAUUUACUAUGUUUA
This is a long non-coding RNA of Malaya genurostris, 1693 nucleotides long. RefSeq lists it as uncharacterized. The transcript is spliced from 2 exons. NCBI's taxonomy places the organism in Eukaryota, Metazoa, Arthropoda, Insecta, Diptera, Culicidae. The record is from RefSeq and is a predicted model, not a curated record.